AACUUGAACCAUUUCCUAGUGCCUUGCUAGACAAACAUAAAGGGGCAGGGUUGUGGGGAGGGGAACAUUUUUGGUGGCGUGUGCAGUUCCUACUGGAUGAGUGUGUGUUUCUUAAUGUCUCAUUUCAAGCAGGAGAUGUUGGGCCUGGAGCAAGAUCUGAGACUGAGAUGUCCCCCAAGGGUGAGAGGCCAGAUUUAUUCCAGUCAGUCCAAGUCACACUCCAAACUAAAGGCUGGGCAGUGCGUUUAGUCUGUGGCCUAGAAGGCCUCAUCAGCCCCCGAGAGGAGGCUUUGCAUUACCUCACUGGGACCUGUUUGGGGGCCAUCACUGCGGUCCACCCUCUGAACCCCCAGCAUGUUUGUCCUGUUUCUCACCAUUGGGUUAAGGGGUGCCGAGCACUAGCUAGACUUCCACAUAGUCCCGCCCCAAGUGGGCGGCAGUGUUCCUGGCAUGACCAGGAUUCCUGUGAAAGCAGGAGCAGCAGCAAGCCAUCCCGGGCCUGCCUUUCCCAUCCUUUGGUUCUCCUUUCCAGUCUGGGUUCACACCCUGAAAAGGGAUGGGUGUCUCCUCUGAGCACUCCAACAUUUGUCAUUGCUGAGCCCACAUCAGUAGGUCCUGGGACCUGACAAAGUAUGUGGGAGGGGAAGGAAGGACAGAAUUUGACUGGCUCCAUUUCAUGGACCAACUGAUCAGUUGCCAGUACUCAGCCACUCAUUGUUAAUGGCUUCCUUUUUGAAAACCGCCUGUCUCAAGGAUUCAGGUUUCUGCUCACAUCCCCAGCUGAUACUCAAUAAAACUCAGCCGGGAGCAUAUAGAGAUGCUGACAGCCAGGUAAUGGGUGAGACUGUGGGGUGCCUUUUCCUCUAAAGCCUUUACUCUGAGGAUAAGGUCACAAAGUAGGGUGUGACUUCAGAGUAUCGUGACCACGUGGCCCACCAGCAGCCUUUCCAAAGGGGAACUCCAGAAACAUUUCAUAAUGCAAACAGCACUGUUGCUUUAAGAACAAGGCCUUUGGAGGUGGCUAAACUUGCAGGCACGUGUGUGAAAAGCCAUCCCAUCUUCUGCCUCCAGUUGGAGCUUUCAGCUUUUAAAACAGUCAGAAACUAUUGAUUCUUCCCUUUAGGAAAAAAUCGCUCAGGCAGAACGGGGCACAUCCACAGGAGGAAUCUGACGAGAGGAUGUGACAUUCGGUCCAGGAGAGAAAGAGCAGUUUCUGUUAAAGAUGUAGCAAAUGGAUUUCCAAAGUCUACAUCACAUUCACUUUUCAAACGUCCCACCAGUUGAAUUUCUUUUUUCCUUAAGAAAUAGGUGAUGUCUUGGAAAACAGCUCCUUAUGUCUCUCUGUGCAUCUCCAUUUUCCUAGUCUCUGGAGUCUCAAAAAGAGUGGCAAAGCACUUUACAGUAGUAACUGAGGAAUCAGAUUCUCUGCUUCAGCGAUAUCUAGUUUGUACAGUUGGGUGAUCUUUUAUAAUUCCUAGGAGGUAAUGCAUUUUUAAUGUUUUCUGAAGCUUUGUAAGUGUGAGAGAGGGACAAGAAGUGCAGUUCUGUUCUGGAAUUCCUUAUUGCUUUCAAUGGACACUCUUUGUGAAAAAUCCAAGUAAUAUUUUAGUUCAAACUUGAUCUUGAGCCAAGGCCCACUGCCACCACUGGGAUGGGGGUCGGACCUACAUACCAAGUGACAAGUUCAUCUUAACAUCUGCUUCCAGAAUGGCUUUGAUUCAGCCGUGCCAGGCAACAGAACAGGGUCAGACUCCUGCUCUAUUAUUGGCUUGAAGACUAGGAUCCCAAAGGGGUUGGAGGCAGGGAAUAUUUGAAAAUUCAGACUGGAAUUCCAGGCCGAAAGCUCAAGACCACUAGCCUCUCCUCCUGCCUGGAAAAAUGAGCCUUUGUGAAAGACUGAUUUACCAUGUACAAUUGUGAUUGUGAACGUUGUUGAGUAAACCUCCAGACUUUCUCUAAA
RNAcentral lists this long non-coding RNA (1960 nucleotides) under Pongo abelii (Sumatran orangutan). RNAcentral describes it as "lncRNA (ENSPPYG00000037146.1)". The record is from RNAcentral. Lineage: Eukaryota; Metazoa; Chordata; Mammalia; Primates; Hominidae.